GCCAAACAGCUAGCUCACCCAUCCAAUAACUAAGCAAUGUAGAUAAAACAAAAUAAGCCUAACCCUAAAAAUUAAACCAUUCUUUUACCUUAGUAUGGGAGACAGAAAAGGUUAUACCUGAAGCAAUAGAGAUAGUACCGCAAGGGAAAGCUGAAAGAGAAAUGAAAUAACUCAUAUAAGCACAGAAAAGCAAAGAUUAAAUCUUGUACCUUUCGCAUCAUGAUUUAGCCAGUACACCCAAGCAAAGAGACCUUUAGUUUGAAACCCCGAAACCAGGUGAGCUACCCCGAGACAGCCUAUUAAGGGCCAACCCGUCUCUGUGGCAAAAGAGUGGGAAGAGCUCCGGGUAGAGGUGACAAAUCUACCGAACCUGGUGAUAGCUGGUUGCCUAAGAAGUGAAUAGAAGUUCAGCCUCGUGUUCCCUAGAUCAGACGUUAAAAGAAGAUACUAAAGGGUAACGCACGAGAGUUAGUUGAAGGGGGUACAGCCCCUUUAACAAAGGACACAACCUUUACAGGAGGAUAAAGAUCAUAAUACAUAAAACAUCCUGUUCUAGUGGGCCUAAAGGCAGCCAUCUAAACAGAAAGCGUUAAAGCUCAGACAGAAGUAAGUUUAUUAUUCCGACAAAAAAUCUUAUUCCCCUAACUACUAUUAGGCCAGCCCAUGCCCGCAUGGGAGGGACUAUGCUAGAAUGAGUAACAAGAAGGCCUGCCCUUCUCCAAGCACAAGUGUAAGCCAAACCGGACCGACCAUUGGCAAUUAACGAACUCAACCCAAGAGAGUAAUGUGGAUUGCAACAAGACCAAGUAGAACCCACAACAAACCUAUCGUUACCCCCACACUGGCGUGCUAUUAAAGGAAAGACUAAAAGAAGGGGAAGGAACUCGGCAAACUCAAGCCUCGCCUGUUUACCAAAAACAUCGCCUCCUGCAACAAAACCUAGUAUAGGAGGUCCAGCCUGCCCAGUGACUAUAAGUUCAACGGCCGCGGUAUUUUGACCGUGCAAAGGUAGCGUAAUCACUUGUCUCUUAAAUGGAGACCUGUAUGAAUGGCUAAACGAGGGCUUAACUGUCUCCCCCCUCCAGUCAGUGAAAUUGAUCUACCCGUGCAGAAGCGGG
RNAcentral lists this ribosomal RNA (1118 nucleotides) under Diptychus maculatus (scaly osman). RNAcentral's name for it is "partial 16S ribosomal RNA". It matches the Rfam family "Bacterial large subunit ribosomal RNA", at positions 113 to 2065 of the family's 2925-position model. Lineage: Eukaryota; Metazoa; Chordata; Actinopteri; Cypriniformes; Cyprinidae. The record is from RNAcentral.